AUGCUUUAUGCACAGAUUUCUGCAUUCAGCUUAGGAGCAGCUGCUUUCUUUUGUGUCGGUGAUGCAGUUGAGAUCCAGUUGGACACAUCAGCAGAUCUCCCAGCUGACUUGGAGACCAUGAAUGCAAGGUAUUGGUUUAUUGACAUAAUUGCAAUUAAACAAUUUGAAGAGGAAAGCAUUGACUAUGAAAGAUUUUGCUGCUUUUUUCCCCCAAGUUUUUGAUUUUUUUUCCCCCCACAGUUUGGGUAGUGCAAAAAAACAUAGAUGAUAAUAUAUGUUAUUUGAGGUGUGUUCUGCCUAUGUUGAAUGUAGGCGAUUCAGAAAUGUUGGAAGACUUGUGCAAAUGAGUGAGAGUGAACUUGGUGCCCAGCUAGGGGUUUGAAAAGAUCUUGGAGGAAGAGCCACAAGUGAUACCUUCUCUGUGGCUUGCUGUUGCUGUAGCAUUCAUCCCUCCUUGCUGCUGUUAAAGUGUCCGUAUCAGGUGGCAAUAAGGAAAGCAAUGUAGUGGUUGUAUAGUACAGUACUUAAAAUGUUACUGCUGAAAACAUAAAACUGGGCUACACACCUGCUGUUAAACCUCAAUCUCACCCUUAAACCUUUCAGCUGUUGUCAAACCUUGGGAUGAUUCAAUACUAUUUAAAAAGAAAAUAGGUUACGCAAGCAUUUUGAAAGAAAAAAAAUUCCUUCCCCACUGAGGAUGAAAACAGGAGCAUGUUUUCCAUACUGCAGUGUGCUGCAAGAUGCAAAUUGCUAAAACAAGCUUUUCACUCUGAGGCAGUACAGGGACACACACACUUUAACAAGUAAGAACUCAGGUCCCUACUUAAGAGAAAGCCAGUCAGCUCAUGAUCAUAUAAAGCUAUAGAGAGCAGGACCUUCAUUUUGACCUAGAUGGCCUUGUGUAAGGAAAUAAUAUGGACAAUACCCUAAAUUCUGUCCUGGCUAAUCUGCUUUGAAAAUGUGCAUACUACAUUUUCUGAGAGUGUUUUCCUGUGCUCUCAGGAAGGAAUUGGAGUCUUAAGCUAACUUUAUUUCAUAUAUAUAUACACCUAUAUUAUCACAUAUUAUUCCAAUUUAAAAGACGAGUCUAUGUUUUCUUGUUCAUGGAAAGAAACAGCUUUUCAUCUUCAGCAUCUGCAAGAUGCAGUCAGGUCAAAUGCUGUCAGAUGCAGAAGGAAA
RNAcentral lists this long non-coding RNA (1179 nucleotides) under Anser brachyrhynchus (Pink-footed goose). RNAcentral describes it as "lncRNA (ENSABRG00000001393.1)". The record is from RNAcentral. Lineage: Eukaryota; Metazoa; Chordata; Aves; Anseriformes; Anatidae.